Molecule: non-coding RNA, 74 nt
Organism: Portunus trituberculatus (swimming crab)
Lineage: Eukaryota; Metazoa; Arthropoda; Malacostraca; Decapoda; Portunidae
Source: the annotation of a RefSeq genome assembly
CGCCCGGUAGUUCAGUGGUUAGAGCGCUGGCUUCUCAAGCCAGAAGACCGGGGUUCGAUUCACCGGCCGGGUGG